UUUCCCGGCAGCGCCAUGGAGCGCAAGCUGACGGUGCAGCAUGGCGCACAGCGGAGGCCGCGGGCGGCCGAACCCGGCGUGUCCUUGGGCUCUUCCAGGUGCAACAAAACCGGUCUCAUUUGAAGGUGCUUGAACAAAUAUUUUCUAAAAACUUGUCAUGGAGAGUGAUUGAAACAAGCUACCAGGACUACAUUUGCCAAUAGCAAGCAUGGAGGUGGCUGUAGUGGAUGUCCAGCUUUGGGAGCUGCGAUUCCUAAAGACCCUUUAUUGUUUUGGCUUACAUAUUGGAAGGUAAAACGAAGACCAUGAACAAAGUCAAGAAACCAUGAACAGAAGCAAUUGGUGAAAAUUAAUAUUUAAUUUAAUAUUAAUAAGUUAUAUAUAAAUAAACAGUUAUUCUU
Molecule: long non-coding RNA, 401 nt
Filed under: Mus caroli (Ryukyu mouse)
Lineage: Eukaryota; Metazoa; Chordata; Mammalia; Rodentia; Muridae
Description: lncRNA (MGP_CAROLIEiJ_G0004321.1)
Source: RNAcentral